CUACGGGUGGCUGCAGUGGGGAAUAUUGGACAAUGGGCGAAAGCCUGAUCCAGCCAUGCCGCGUGUGUGAAGAAGGCCUUCGGGUUGUAAAGCACUUUCAGUGGGGAAGAAAGCCUUGGGGCUAAUACCCUCGAGGAAGGACAUCACCCACAGAAGAAGCACCGGCUAACUCCGUGCCAGCAGCCGCGGUAAUACGGAGGGUGCGAGCGUUAAUCGGAAUUACUGGGCGUAAAGCGCGCGUAGGCGGUCUGAUAAGCCGGUUGUGAAAGCCCCGGGCUCAUCCUGGGAACGGCAUCCGGAACUGUCAGGCUAGAGUGCAGGAGAGGAAGGUAGAAUUCCCGGUGUAGCGGUGAAAUGCGUAGAGAUCGGGAGGAAUACCAGUGGCGAAGGCGGCCUUCUGGACUGACACUGACGCUGAGGUGCGAAAGCGUGGGUAGCAAACAGGAUUAGAUACCCGAGUAGUC
Molecule: ribosomal RNA, 464 nt
Filed under: Vreelandella stevensii
Lineage: Bacteria; Pseudomonadati; Pseudomonadota; Gammaproteobacteria; Oceanospirillales; Halomonadaceae
Description: partial 16S ribosomal RNA
Rfam family: Bacterial small subunit ribosomal RNA
Source: RNAcentral